GGAGGGGCUGUGCCUCAGUGGAAAAGUCUCUGCUUUGCAUACAAAACGUCCUAAGUUCAAUCCUUAGCCUCUCCA
RNAcentral lists this transfer RNA (75 nucleotides) under Sphaerodactylus townsendi. RNAcentral's name for it is "tRNA-Ala". Lineage: Eukaryota; Metazoa; Chordata; Lepidosauria; Squamata; Sphaerodactylidae. The record is from RNAcentral.